GUGCACUGUUCGUAACCUGUUUCAGAAACGCAGUCUGAAAUCUGGGUUCCAUUCCAGUGCUACAAGAACGUUCAGUGAGGCAGGGGAGUGGAGCUUCUCUGUGCAUAACUCCCUGUUCACUCUCUGGCAACAAGC
Molecule: small nucleolar RNA, 135 nt
Organism: Pygocentrus nattereri (red-bellied piranha)
Lineage: Eukaryota; Metazoa; Chordata; Actinopteri; Characiformes; Serrasalmidae
Source: Ensembl